UGGAAAGGCGCGCGAUACAGGGUGACAGCCCCGUACACAAAAGCGCAUGUGCUGUGAGCUCGAUGAGUAGGGCGGGACACGUGGUAUCCUGUCUGAAUAUGGGGGGACCAUCCUCCAAGGCUAAAUACUCCUGACUGACCGAUAGUGAACCAGUACCGUGAGGGAAAGGCGAAAAGAACCCCGGCGAGGGGAGUGAAAAAGAACCUGAAACCGUGUACGUACAAGCAGUGGGAGCACAGGUUUACCUGUGUGACUGCGUACCUUUUGUAUAAUGGGUCAGCGACUUAUAUUCUGUAGCAAGGUUAACCGUAUAGGGGAGCCGGAGGGAAACCGAGUCUUAAUUGGGCGUUAAGUUGCAGGGUAUAGACCCGAAACCCGGUGAUCUAGCCAUGGGCAGGUUGAAGGUUGGGUAACACUAACUGGAGGACCGAACCGACUAAUGUUGAAAAAUUAGCGGAUGACCUGUGGCUGGGGGUGAAAGGCCAAUCAAACCGGGAGAUAGCUGGUUCUCCCCGAAAGCUAUUUAGGUAGCGCCUCGUGAAUUCAUCUCCGGGGGUAGAGCACUGUUUCGGCUAGGGGGCCAUCCCGGCUUACCAACCCGAUGCAAACUGCGAAUACCGGAGAAUGUUAUCACGGGAGACACACGGCGGGUGCUAACGUCCGUCGUGAAGAGGGAAACAACCCAGACCGCCAGCUAAGGUCCCAAAGUCAUGGUUAAGUGGGAAACGAUGUGGGAAGGCCCAGACAGCCAGGAUGUUGGCUUAGAAGCAGCCAUCAUUUAAAGAAAGCGUAAUAGCUCACUGGUCGAGUCGGCCUGCGCGGAAGAUGUAACGGGGCUAAACCAUGCACCGAAGCUGCGGCAGCGACGCUGAUGCGUUGUUGGGUAGGGGAGCGUUCUGUAAGCCUGCGAAGGUGGCCUGUGAGGGUUGCUGGAGGUAUCAGAAGUGCGAAUGCUGACAUAAGUAACGAUAAAGCGGGUGAAAAGCCCGCUCGCCGGAAGACCAAGGGUUCCUGUCCAACGUUAAUCGGGGCAGGGUGAGUCGACCCCUAAGGCGAGGCCGAAAGGCGUAGUCGAUGGGAAACGGGUUAAUAUUCCCGUACUUGGUGUUACUGCGAAGGGGGGACGGAGAAGGCUAUGUUGGCCGGGCGACGGUUGUCCCGGUUUAAGCGUGUAGGUGUGUGUUCCAGGUAAAUCCGGUUCACUUUAACACUGAGGCGUGAUGACGAGGCACUACGGUGCUGAAGCAACAAAUGCCCUGCUUCCAGGAAAAGCCUCUAAGCAUCAGGUAACAUCAAAUCGUACCCCAAACCGACACAGGUGGUCAGG
Molecule: ribosomal RNA, 1327 nt
Filed under: Salmonella enterica subsp. enterica serovar Saintpaul
Lineage: Bacteria; Pseudomonadati; Pseudomonadota; Gammaproteobacteria; Enterobacterales; Enterobacteriaceae
Description: partial 23S ribosomal RNA
Rfam family: Bacterial large subunit ribosomal RNA
Source: RNAcentral